UUUCCGUAGGUGAACCUGCGGAAGGAUCAUUACCUAGUAACGCAGGCCUGGAAACAGGCCUGGUCACUACCCUUACUGUACGAGUACCUAUUGUUCUCCUUCGGCGGGGCGACCCGCCGCUGGAACCAAACAAACAACCUUUUUGCAUCCAGUAUUACCUGUUCUGAUAAACGUAAUUAAUUACAACUUUCAACAAUGGAUCUCUUGGCUCUGGCAUCGAUGAAGAACGCAGC
RNAcentral lists this unclassified non-coding RNA (233 nucleotides) under uncultured fungus. Its description in RNAcentral is "sequence contains ITS1, 5.8S rRNA gene". The stretch from base 185 to 233 matches the Rfam family "5.8S ribosomal RNA", at positions 1 to 49 of the family's 154-position model. Lineage: Eukaryota; Fungi. The record is from RNAcentral.